AGAGUUUGAUCCUGGCUCAGGAUGAACGCUGGCGGCGUGCCUAAAACAUGCAAGUCGAGCGGUAAGGCUCCUGCAGGUUAUUCACAUCGAAGGAUUGAAUGACGUGCUGGAGUACACGAGCGGCGGACGGCUGAGUAACGCGUAGGAACGUACCCCAAACUGAGGGAUAACCGCCCGAAAGGGUGGCUAAUACCGCAUGUGCUCUUCGGAGUAAAGCUACGGCGGUUUGGGAACGGCCUGCGUAAGAUUAGCUUGUUGGUGGGGUAAUGGCUCACCAAGGCGACGAUCUUUAGCUGGUCUGAGAGGAUGAUCAGCCAGACUGGGACUGAGACACGGCCCAGACUCCUACGGGAGGCAGCAGUUAGGAAUUUUUCACAAUGGGGGCAACCCUGAUGGAGCAACGCCGCGUGCAGGAUGAAUGCCUUCGGGUUGUAAACUGCUUUUAUAUGUGACGAUUAUGACGGUAGCAUAUGAAUAAGGAUCGGCUAACUCCGUGCCAGCAGCCGCGGUCAUACGGAGGAUCCAAGCGUUAUCCGGAAUUACUGGGCGUAAAGAGUUGCGUAGGUGGCAUUGUAAGUUGGUAGUGAAAGCGUGCGGCUCAACCGCAUAAACAUUACCAAAACUGCAAAGCUAGAGGACGAGAGAGGUACCUGGAAUUCCUAGUGUAGGAGUGGAAUCCGUAGAUAUUAGGAGGAACACCGAUGGCGUAGGCAGGGUACUGGCUCGUUCCUGACACUAAGGCACGAAAGCGUGGGUAGCAAACGGGAUUAGAUACCCUAGUAGUCC
Molecule: ribosomal RNA, 786 nt
Filed under: uncultured bacterium
Lineage: Bacteria
Description: bacterial SSU rRNA
Rfam family: Bacterial small subunit ribosomal RNA
Source: RNAcentral